RNAcentral lists this small RNA (100 nucleotides) under Pantoea agglomerans. Its description in RNAcentral is "ArcZ RNA". It matches the Rfam family "ArcZ RNA". From Rfam's summary of the family: This RNA was discovered in E. coli during a large scale screen. SraH expression is highly abundant in stationary phase, but low levels could be detected in exponentially growing cells as well. ArcZ RNA function as an activator of the alternative sigma factor RpoS as a response of stress. Lineage: Bacteria; Pseudomonadati; Pseudomonadota; Gammaproteobacteria; Enterobacterales; Erwiniaceae. RNAcentral also lists the same sequence under 3 other names. The record is from RNAcentral.
GUGUUAACCAAUACCAUGCGGCUGCGUUUAUUACUCAAAGCAUAGCAACCGCUACUUUUUCCCUGGUGUUGGCGCAGUAUUCGCGCACCCCGGCCUCGGC